Molecule: long non-coding RNA, 273 nt
Filed under: Elaeis guineensis (African oil palm)
Lineage: Eukaryota; Viridiplantae; Streptophyta; Magnoliopsida; Arecales; Arecaceae
Description: long non-coding RNA (EGUI_LNC073646)
Source: RNAcentral
UUUUAGGGGUUCAGGGAGGUCUUCCAAGAGAGAGAGCUUUUGUGAGGGGAACUUCUAAUGAGAGAGAAAUUGGGUGUACGAGGGUUGAGAGUGAGAUCUCCUCUUGUAAAAUUUUUUUUCAUAGUGAAGUUUGCAUGCCCCGUGGAGGCGAGCCCUUUUGUGGCUGAUUCACGUAUUUUGAUUAUUUUUUGUUUUAUUUCUUCUUUCUUCUUUUUGCUUCGCGUGGUACUGAAAAGGUUUUGGGAGAUAGUGUCCUGGCCAGACAUCCACCCA